AYUGGUAGGCUUGGGACCGGGAGAGGUGGGAGGUACUCCAGGGGUAGGGGUGAAAUCUCGUAAUCCUUGGGGGACCACCGAUGGCGAAGGCAUCCCMCCAGAACGGGUCCGACGGUGAGGGACGAAAGCUGGGGGCACGAACCGGAUUAGAUACCCGGGUAGUCCCAGCCGUAAACGAUGCUCGCUAGGUGUCAGGUGCGGUGCGACCGCAU
This 212-nucleotide ribosomal RNA is filed under the name uncultured Candidatus Methanoperedens sp. RNAcentral's name for it is "partial 16S ribosomal RNA". It matches the Rfam family "Archaeal small subunit ribosomal RNA", at positions 583 to 794 of the family's 1478-position model. Lineage: Archaea; Methanobacteriati; Methanobacteriota; Methanomicrobia; Methanosarcinales; Candidatus Methanoperedentaceae. The record is from RNAcentral.